Molecule: ribosomal RNA, 529 nt
Filed under: Pseudomonas sp. 2So7
Lineage: Bacteria; Pseudomonadati; Pseudomonadota; Gammaproteobacteria; Pseudomonadales; Pseudomonadaceae
Description: bacterial SSU rRNA
Rfam family: Bacterial small subunit ribosomal RNA
Source: RNAcentral
GGCGGACGGGUGAGUAAUGCCUAGGAAUCUGCCUGGUAGUGGGGGAUAACGCUCGGAAACGGACGCUAAUACCGCAUACGUCCUACGGGAGAAAGCAGGGGACCUUCGGGCCUUGCGCUAUCAGAUGAGCCUAGGUCGGAUUAGCUAGUUGGUGAGGUAAUGGCUCACCAAGGCGACGAUCCGUAACUGGUCUGAGAGGAUGAUCAGUCACACUGGAACUGAGACACGGUCCAGACUCCUACGGGAGGCAGCAGUGGGGAAUAUUGGACAAUGGGCGAAAGCCUGAUCCAGCCAUGCCGCGUGUGUGAAGAAGGUCUUCGGAUUGUAAAGCACUUUAAGUUGGGAGGAAGGGCAGUUACCUAAUACGUAUCUGUUUUGACGUUACCGACAGAAUAAGCACCGGCUAACUCUGUGCCAGCAGCCGCGGUAAUACAGAGGGUGCAAGCGUUAAUCGGAAUUACUGGGCGUAAAGCGCGCGUAGGUGGUUCGUUAAGUUGGAUGUGAAAUCCCCGGGCUCAACCUGGGAACU